Molecule: ribosomal RNA, 512 nt
Filed under: uncultured bacterium
Lineage: Bacteria
Description: bacterial SSU rRNA
Rfam family: Bacterial small subunit ribosomal RNA
Source: RNAcentral
CGCUGGCGGCGUGCCUAAUACAUGCAAGUCGAACGGUCUUUCUAUGGAAGCUUGCUUCCACUGAGAAGAUAGUGGCGAACGGGUGAGUAACACGUGGGUAACCUGCCCAUAAGAGGGGGAUAACAUCCGGAAACGGGUGCUAAUACCGCAUAGUUUUCUUGAUCGCAUGAUCGGGAAAGGAAAGACGGCCUUUGUGCUGUCGCUUAUGGAUGGACCCGCGGCGUAUUAGUUAGUUGGUGAGGUAACGGCUCACCAAGACGAUGAUACGUAGCCGACCUGAGAGGGUGAUCGGCCACAUUGGGACUGAGACACGGCCCAAACUCCUACGGGAGGCAGCAGUAGGGAAUCUUCCGCAAUGGACGAAAGUCUGACGGAGCAACGCCGCGUGAGUGAAGAAGGUUUUCGGGAAUCGUAAAACUCUGUUGUCAGAGAAGAACAAGUUGGAGAGUAACUGCUCCAGCCUUGACGGUAUCUGACCAGAAAGCCACGGCUAACUACGUGCCAGCAGCAGC